RNAcentral lists this ribosomal RNA (293 nucleotides) under uncultured Planctomycetota bacterium. RNAcentral describes it as "uncultured planctomycete partial 16S ribosomal RNA". Lineage: Bacteria; Pseudomonadati; Planctomycetota. The record is from RNAcentral.
GGACUACUGGGGUAUCUAAUCCCGUUUGCUCCCCUGGCUUUCGCGUCUCAGCGUCAGUAAGAGCCCAGGACCUCGCUUUCGCCACGGGCGUUCCUUCCGAUCUCAACGCAUUUCACCGCUCCACCGGAAGUUCCAGGUCCCCCUACUCCCCUCCAGGCCGCUCGUAUCGGUGCCUAUUCCCCGGUUGAGCCGGGGGAUUUCAACAUCCGACGUGGCGACCCGCCUACACGCGCUUUAAGCCCAGUGAUUCCGAAUAACGUUCGCACGGUUCGUCUUACCGCGGCGGCUGGCAC